This 1424-nucleotide long non-coding RNA is filed under the name Homo sapiens (human). RNAcentral's name for it is "non-protein coding lnc-ADCYAP1-3:2". Lineage: Eukaryota; Metazoa; Chordata; Mammalia; Primates; Hominidae. The record is from RNAcentral.
CAGGAGGAGAAGAAGUAUGAAGUGCUUGCUUGGACCUUUCUACUGUGCUUAUUAUUCUGUCUUCUCCUCAUGGCAAGUAAGUCAAAAUAUUUCUUACUUUCUUUAGACCAGAAUAGUGAAUUCAAUUCUUUGACUCCUUUCCAGCUAACAUGAGUGUAAAAUUUUGCUGGUUUAGUCAUAUUUAUAAGCUUAAAUCUCUCCUGUCUGGAGUUUCAUGGGAAAUCUAAAAAAAAUGUGAGCAAUAUUUUCCCAGGAUGAAGAACAUAAAAUUAGAUUCAAUAGAUACAUUUAUCUUUAAUGAAAUUGACCUGCCUAACCCUUAAUCAUAUUUCUGAUAUUAGCUUGGACAAUAUUUCUCCUGGAAUUUUUCUUACUUCUUAAGGCUAAUUUUGGUGCUCUUUCUAUAAGUCCCUGAGAUCUCUGGACUUCCCCUUGCAGAUUGCUUUUCCCAUUGCAUUGCAAUGAUUUAUUGAUACCGUCAUCACUAGAGGGUUGACUAUGAGAGUAGAAAUUGUAUCUGUCUUUUUCACAAUGCUGUUAACAUCAGCCACUGUACCAAGCAUGCUUUGUUGUCCAGGCUGGUCUCGUACUCCUGGAAUCAAGGAACCCUUCCACCUCAGCCUCUGAAAGUUCUGGGAUUACAGGCAUAAUUCAUCCUGCCUGGCCAAGAAUCUUUAAUGCUCUGCUCAGGCAACUCUUCCUCUGAGGAUCCUUCCAGUGACAAUUCAAGAAUUAGCGACUCAAUUCCCAGGGUCCCUUAGACCUUCGACCUGCUUGUGGGCAAUUUGGAAACAAGGAUUGUGCCUGAAUCACCUUUGCAUUCCUAGCAUCGUUUUUCCUGGAUAAUAAUUUGUUCAAUAUAUGUUCAAUAAUUGUUCAAUUAUUCAAUAACAAAUGUUCAAUAAAUGUGUGUUAAAUGAAUGACCACAGCUCCUAUAGCAGGUAGCUGACUUUGUGUCUCCUCAACCAAUCUCUGAGCUCUUUGAAACAAAGCCUAUUUUGUUUGAAUGUAAAUUUAUCAUCCCAGUUUCUGGUACAGGGUAGGGAACUAAUGCAUAUGUGGUGAAACAAUCAAUGCCUUAGUGCUUAUGAAGAAUAUCACUGUGUUACACAGAAGCAUGGAAUGACUAAUGUUAAGCUAAACUCAAGUUACUUAGGGAAUAUUAACUUGCAUUUAUUAUACUCUGGGGGAAAAACACAUAUAUGUGUAUAUAUGUAUAACAUAUGUAUGUAUACACAUAUCAGAAUUUGUAUAUGAGAAUGUCUGAUUACUAUCAAAAUACUAUGAUUAAGAAUUAAUUGCAAGACUUUGUAAUUAAAGGUGUCGACACCUCUUAUGUCUCCCUAUUUCUUGUAUUUGGAUUAUCUCUUUCCCUGCCUAUGCUAGAUAUACAAGGUGAUGCCGUGAUUGUGUCUGAUUUAAG